GAGCGCUCUAUUCCGCCCUGUGUUCUCGAACGGUCCCAAACCCUAGGCCUAGGCGCGACCAGAGUCCAUGUCGGGGUCUUACGGAUCCGACGACUACCGCGGCGGCGGCGGCGGCGGCCGAGGUGGCGGAGGCGGCGGCGGGCGUGGUCGUGGAGGCGGUGGAGGAGGGUAUGGAAGUGGCGGAGGUGGGGGAGGCUACGGCGGCGGUGGUGGAGGAGGUUAUGGAGGUGGUGGUGGAGGAGGAUACGGCGGCGGCGGUGGAGGUGGCCGAGGCGGUGGCGGCGGCGGGUUCGGUGGCGGAGGGCGAGGUGGUGGUGGUGGUGGCCGAGGCGGAGGCGGGCGCGGGGGUGGACGCGAAGGCGAUUGGGUUUGCCCUGACGCGAGUUGUGGUAAUGUGAAUUUUGCGAGGAGGACUGAAUGCAAUAAGUGUGGAGCACCUUGCCCAAGUGGCGGUGGCGGCGGUGGGGGUUAUAAUAGGUCUGGUGGAGGUGGUGGGGGAUACAACCGUGGCAGUGGUGAUUAUGGUUCUGGAGGAGGUGGUGGCUUCGACAGAGAUGGCGGAGACUACAAUUCUGGUGGGCGUGGUGGUGGAGGCGGGGGCAGAGGAGGAUACAAUCAAAGUGGUGGUAGUGACCGUGGUUUUGAUGACCACCGUGGUGGCAGAGGUGGCAGCUAUGGAGGACGAGACCAGGAGAACCAAAAGGGUAGUGAAGGUGGCUACAAUGCUGGUGGUUAUGGACAAACUCCUCAAGGUCCUCCUUCCUACGGUGGUCCUGCAGGUGACUAUGCAGCACCUACGAGCUCUUAUGGAGGCAACAAUGCUUAUGGUUCAGAAUCUGCAGUGCCGCCUCCUAAUAGCUACAGUGGUGGCCCAGGCUCAUACCCACCAAGCUAUGGUGCCCCGCCUCCACACCAAUAUGGUGGUGCCCCAGGCGGGCAAGGCGGCCUGCCUCCUACAUAUGCUGGUGGAUAUGGUGGUCAGUCCAUGCCUGGGGGUGGAGGAUCUGGGGGUGCACCGCCACCUUAUCGUGGCGGCGCUAGUGUUUAUACUGGUAGUGCUGGUCCUGAACCAGCUGGAAAAGUCAAGCAAUGUGAUGAAAAUUGUGACGAGACAUGUGACAACGCAAGGAUUUACAUAUCAAAUUUGCCUCCUGAUGUCACUGUUGAGGAAUUACAGGAGCUAUUUGGAGGAAUCGGCCAGGUUGGGAGGAUCAAGCAAAAACGUGGUUACAAAGACCAGUGGCCCUGGAACAUAAAAAUCUACACUGAUGACUCUGGAAAAGCCAAAGGAGAUGCUUGCCUUGCCUAUGAAGAUCCUUCUGCUGCUCAUUCAGCUGGUGGAUUUUACAAUAAUUAUGACAUGAGAGGCUACAAAAUCAGCGUUACGAUGGCUGAAAAAUCAGCACCCAGAGCAGCACCUUCUUAUGGUCAUGGCGGUGGCCGCGGUGGUGGAUAUGGUGGAGGUGGACGCAGGGAUAAUUACAGAGAUGGUGGGGGCCAUGGACCCAAUAGAAACCAGGGUGGUGGUUCGCGUUCCCGACCAUACUGAAAGCAACUAAUAUUCUUACUGUGAUUGUUGCCUGUGAGAAACCAUUUCUAUUCCUGUUCUACGGAUUUGUACUCAUUCAGGCGCAUAAGAGGCAGAUGGGGAUAUAAGCUCCAAAUGCUGGUAGGUUUGUGAUACUAUUUCAGCCGGUGGAUCACUCCUGUAAGCUUUGGAUUUUGCUGCAAAGAACAGGUAGCGUGGUUUAUCAUGUGAUAGGUUUAUUAGAUUUCGUCUAUAUUAGAUGACAUAUCAAACAACAUUCAUAGAAUGUUCCACACCCAUUUUUGUUUGAAUGCACAGAGGGUUUGUAGCAUGUACUUAGCUUAGGUUGCCACAAACAUUUGGCUUCAUAUAGAUGGUGAAUUGUGCCUCUGGGUAAUAAGCUUGUUUUGGUAAAGAGCCUACUCUUGGAUAAAGGCUGCAGCUCCACUUGUGCCCCAACUAAACAUCCUUAGCAACACAAUUUGACUUUUUUUGUGCUAAAGUGAUGAUUUAUAAAUAGAAAAGGAACAAGAAUUGGGUGGAUUAUUGCUUCAUUUGCCAUUUGAGGCCUCUCGGGAGUAUGGGACUGGGUCACUGGGAGCUCAUGCCUUUGGUUAAUUGACCUGGAGACUUUGACAACUUCAUAGUGCACAAUCCUUGCACCGAUCAGACAUAUCAGUCGCCUGUGCGUGCAGAUGGCGAACCAGCAUUGGUAUUUUCGUGUGCUGAGGCCUUUAUUGUAUUUACCUUCUUAUUUUUAUUAAGCUUUCAUGAAGUAUGUGAAUGAUUGUACUGCUUGAGCAGUAACCAAUUAAGUACACGACGGGAAAGCUACUGGCUGUUGCAGAAGCCGGUAGUGUAUUAUUAUUA
This is an RNA transcript of Zea mays, 2398 nucleotides long. It is a transcript of the gene named transcription initiation factor TFIID subunit 15b, with no coding region annotated. The record is from RefSeq and is a predicted model, not a curated record. Lineage: Eukaryota; Viridiplantae; Streptophyta; Magnoliopsida; Poales; Poaceae. The transcript has 8 exons.